AAUGUUUGGAAGGAUAUUUAUUGAACAAAUAUUUAUUGAGCACACGCUAUAUAUCACUUGUCAUUCUUCUAGGUACUGAGGUGAUACCUAAAAUGUAAGCAGUGUUUAUUUUAAAGUGACCAGGCUACAGAUAAUUUAUUUUUCUUUUUGCUUAUUUGCACUUCCUAUAGUGACCAAGUAUCAUUUAUGUAAUUUGUAAGUUAAUCUUUAAAUAUCCAAACUAAACCAUAUUCAGUUGAGAGAAGGUGUUAUGAAGGGAGUUCUUAAAAUAUACACUGUUCAAGUCUGAGCUUGCGGCCACAGGAAAGAAAAAUUAUAGAUUGCAAACAUGUUGAAAAGGCAGUGCCUAUGUCACAUAGUGCAAAAGCUUACCCCCUCCUCUAAGCUGGGUGCUGCCCAGGUAACCUGCAUAAGAGCAGCUCUGUCUUCCUUUGAACACACACUAUUGAUCCCGAGUUCCUUGUAUACCUCAGAGGAAGCAGUAAAGUUCACAUAAAGACGCAUACAUGGCUUUCUGUCUUUUCCAAUAGUUCCCCAUAUUUAAGGCUUUGUCAUUCCUCCUACAGGAUCAAGCAUUUAAAGUGAGCCCUUCAAGCACAGGCAGACCAUACCUCCAUUGUUGAAU
Molecule: long non-coding RNA, 625 nt
Filed under: Homo sapiens (human)
Lineage: Eukaryota; Metazoa; Chordata; Mammalia; Primates; Hominidae
Description: HSALNT0106790
Source: RNAcentral